Molecule: transfer RNA, 76 nt
Filed under: Oscillospiraceae bacterium
Lineage: Bacteria; Bacillati; Bacillota; Clostridia; Eubacteriales; Oscillospiraceae
Description: tRNA-Gln
Rfam family: tRNA
About the family: Transfer RNA (tRNA) molecules are approximately 80 nucleotides in length.
Source: RNAcentral
UGGGGCGUCGCCAAGCGGUAAGGCAGUGGACUCUGACUCCACCAUUCCGAGGGUUCAAAUCCUUCCGCCCCAACCA